Molecule: RNase P RNA, 380 nt
Filed under: Chloroflexota bacterium
Lineage: Bacteria; Bacillati; Chloroflexota
Description: RNase P RNA component class A
Rfam family: Bacterial RNase P class A
About the family: Ribonuclease P (RNase P) is a ubiquitous endoribonuclease, found in archaea, bacteria and eukarya as well as chloroplasts and mitochondria. Its best characterised activity is the generation of mature 5'-ends of tRNAs by cleaving the 5'-leader elements of precursor-tRNAs.
Source: RNAcentral
CGAGGAGGACGGAUGGUCGCCGCCGCGUUCGGCUUUGGUCGGCGCGGGGGAGGAAAGUCCGAGCACCUCAUGGAUCGGAGUGCCUGCUAACGGCAGGGCGGGGCGACCCGACGGAAAGUGCAACAGAAAGUAGACCGCCGGCGCGCAAGNGCAGGUAAGGCUGAAAGGGUGCGGUAAGAGCGCACCGCCCGGAUGGCGACAUGCGGGGCAAGGUAAACCCCACUCGGUGCAAGACCAAAUAGGGAAGCUGUGACCGGAUCCGGGUAGCUUCCGGGUUGGUUGCUUGAGCCUGCGGGCAACNGUAGGCCUAGAUGGAUGGCCGUCGCCGGUUUCCGUUCAGGAAGUCGGUACAGGACUCGGCUUACAGUCCGCCUCGCGGC